Non-coding RNA from Glycine soja, 166 nucleotides. NCBI's taxonomy places the organism in Eukaryota, Viridiplantae, Streptophyta, Magnoliopsida, Fabales, Fabaceae. The record is from Rfam.
GUUGAUGGGAAUGUUGUUUGGCUCGAGGUAACUAUGCAUGGUCUUAAUUUUGUUCAUCUUUGAAGCUUUAAUUUAUGGGUUUCGAUCUCUUUGAUCCCUUGAAACAAAGAAAGCUUUAAAGGUUGGAUUUUGAGGCUUUCUCGGACCAGGCUUCAUUCCCGUAAAC